AGGGUUCGAUUCGAGCGCAGCGAGAAAGCGUUGCCGCAGGCAACGACCCGAAGGGUGAGGCGCGAAGCGACGAAUAAUCCUUCCCCCGCCACCA
Molecule: small RNA, 94 nt
Filed under: Klebsiella ornithinolytica
Lineage: Bacteria; Pseudomonadati; Pseudomonadota; Gammaproteobacteria; Enterobacterales; Enterobacteriaceae
Description: Raoultella ornithinolytica partial RtT sRNA
Rfam family: RtT RNA
About the family: This family represents a bacterial cis-regulatory element known as RtT RNA. The exact function of RtT is unknown although it is thought that it may be involved in changing the cellular response in relation to amino acid starvation.
Source: RNAcentral